Molecule: long non-coding RNA, 1221 nt
Filed under: Rattus norvegicus (Norway rat)
Lineage: Eukaryota; Metazoa; Chordata; Mammalia; Rodentia; Muridae
Description: long non-coding RNA NONRATT003766
Source: RNAcentral
AACAGACAGAAAAGCAAUGGUGAUGUUCACUGCAGCCUCCGUCAACACAGUCUGACAGCACUUUUCCUUAUCAUAUGUUCACUCCUAGACACAAACAACCAACUACAGAAGCAACAAGGUACAAAGACUGAGAGACUAAGUAUGAAUGAGAAGUUGAUGUUCCAAGCAAAUCAUUUAAAUUGGCAUAUUUAACGGAUUCUGAUGACUCCUCCUGCUUUGCUGUAGCCACACAAUUAUUAUGCAUCUAGACCACUCUAAUGACUGAUCUAGCAAAUCAAACAGAUAGUUACUCUCCCAGUCCUUUGUUAUUAAAAACAAACAAAGGCGAAGGGGAGCCAAGCCAGGUCAGUAACAGCCCUAGAGCUGGGGUUUUGAGAUUCCUUUCCCACAUACUCCAAGGAAGCAAGUGCGUAUCCUGCGCUCCUCCGCAGGGAACAGUGUGUGAGAAAGGCGAGUAAUUAAACCUGAAACUGGAGGAAUCUGACUAUAAGAUAUUUGCUUUGGGUGCAUAUGUAAAUUGUUUUGGUUUCCAAGCAUGUUAUUAAGAAUAUAAAAUAGUUUUCAUUCAUUCCUGCUGGCCAGACAUGAGGCUUCCCAGGGUAGUGGGAGGAUUAGUGGGAGGGUAAAACACGGAUUUAGAAUUCUCAGACACAACUUGGAAUUCAUUUUCUCAUAGAAAAAGAAAGGUUCCCAGGCUAGCCUGCCAACGCUCGUCUCAUCCACAGAGUGGAAGGCAGUUUUAUUUUUCUGUACCCGAAGAGACAGUGUGGUGUUAGGACGGGAAUCUUUGCUUGGCAAGCAGGAAGCUCUGCUUCUAGUUCAGUCAGCUGCUCACUGCGUGAGCCCACAUCAUGAUGUCACAGCUGUGCACUCCAUCACCUCUGAAACUCACAGCUUUGUGCUUGGUGUCCAGGUGGCUCCAAGUCUGAGAAGACAAGGCCAAGGCAGGGAACCCCUUCUGAAGGAGCAUGGAGGCAGCCUAUUGGAGUCAUCACCACCUAAGUAGCUAGGAUCUUUGUGUGGGGGUGGGAUGGGUGAGGAGAAGAAGAGGGCAAGGAGACGGCAUCGAACUCAUGGCCUACUUUCCUCAUGUUGUGUGCGUGCUCUACAAUUGUGAAACCUCCAGCCCCAGAGCUUCAUAUUAUGUGACACCUGGUGUUUCUUGCCUUUAAUCAUUGUAAUAGAUUAAUUAAUUAAAGAAAAAAACCACUGGGUGAGGGC